GGGAAAGCAGGAGAGAGGAGAGCAAGAGAAGGGCUCUUGCAGUGGGAGUAGCCAUGGAGGGGGCUUCUGAGAAAGAGGAGAAGAAGGGAUUAAAUUCAGAGAGAAGAAGAGGGGCUUCAGAGAGAAUCCAAGAAGGAAUCCCUGGUGAAGCCUCCCAAGAUUGAGUGCUGCUUUUGCCUCACAAACGUCUCAUGCAAUGCAAUCCUCGCUUCCCUGCUCGAAGAAAACAAUGCAGUCAACUGGUCUUCCCUGAGCUUACUGUCAAGAUAAAGGCUCAGGCAUCAGGAGGAGACAGAAAAGGAUCACAACCGGUUGCACUCUGUGCUUAAAGCUGCUCAUAUAAGGUGGUUUUAAGUCAUCCGGGAAUAAUGUAGAAUCCUAGGUUAGCUCUCGUUCCGUAAGAAUUAUUAUGGACUUCAAGCUGCAUAUUUACCAAUUAUGAUAUGACAAAGAUGAUAAAAGCAAUGAAUAAAGACUGCUGAAGGCUAGUUUCAUCUAGGAAGUCACAAAUGGAACAAGUCUUGGGAAAACAAUGCAUGUUAUGUUGAUUCAAGCUAAAAAAAAGAGAGUGAGAGAGGGGGGGUGUGCAGUGAGGAGAAGGCAGCUUGAUUUGUCUGGGAUGAGCAGGUAAAGCUGAAAAGAGGAAGUAGCGGUUUCCUUAGGAGACCAAAGUGUAGUAACAUCAAGGAAUGCAAUGUCUUAACCAGGGGAACAAAAGCAGUUUGCUGAUACAUAUGGAUUCAGAUAACUGUGGAGUGUGAGGGGACAAUAUAGAGCAUGCUUUUCAGAUCAUUACAGAAAUAUAUCUCACCAACAUUUGAUACAACAAAUGCUGAAAGUGUUUGUUAGAUGCAAGUAGGAUAUAAGCGCAAUUUGCAGAAGAAGAAAAGAGUGGCAAGAAUCCAUGCAAGGGAAUCUGAUAGGACUUCAUGUUUCCAUUGAAUGCCAGGGAAGAUGCUUGCAGCACACUAAAACUACAUUGCAUUCCAUGUGUCGGAAAAUGUUGCAUGAUCCUAGGCUUUGUGCAGAGUCAAGCAACCAUCAAAGCCUUCUUUAGCUGCUGCUGGCCUCAGCCUCUGCUGACAGUAACUGAUGAUGUUAAUGGUGGGAAUGUAAAGACAAAAGGACUCAGAGUUCAAUGACCAGACAACUGUUUGGUGAAAACCAUGCACAACUGCAUGCUUGCUUGAAUGCAAUGUCGAAUGCUACCAGUGUCACACUGGUCCAAGAUAUGUCCCUGAUAGGUUAGAAUGCGAUCGAUCAAUGGUUCUCUUUCUACUUUUUUUAGUGGUAGGCAGUAGAGGGAGCACUUCAUUUUACCUACUGCUCCACUGUUAUUCCACUGCAGAAGUAGAAAUUGUAUUAUGCAUGGUAGUAGUCUUUCCAAUAUUCCUUUUA
This is a long non-coding RNA of Musa acuminata AAA Group (dessert banana), 1398 nucleotides long. RefSeq lists it as uncharacterized. The transcript is spliced from 2 exons. The record is from RefSeq and is a predicted model, not a curated record. Lineage: Eukaryota; Viridiplantae; Streptophyta; Magnoliopsida; Zingiberales; Musaceae.